RNAcentral lists this long non-coding RNA (10618 nucleotides) under Phaseolus vulgaris (common bean). Its description in RNAcentral is "long non-coding RNA (PVUL_LNC004878)". The record is from RNAcentral. Lineage: Eukaryota; Viridiplantae; Streptophyta; Magnoliopsida; Fabales; Fabaceae.
CAGCUUCCAUACCCAUCAUCCACAGAGAUGUGAAGACUGCAAAUAUACUCUUGGAUGAAACUUACACUGCCAAAGUGUCUGACUUUGGAGCUUCUAGAUUGGUUCCUCUUGACCAAACUGAAAUAGCCACAAUUGUGCAAGGAACCUUUGGGUAUUUAGACCCAGAGUACAUGCAAUCAAGUCAGUUGACAGAAAAGAGUGAUGUCUAUAGCUUUGGGGUAGUGCUUGUAGAACUACUAACAGGGGAGAAACCGUUCUGUUUUGACAGGGCAGAAGAGAAACGAAGUCUUACGGUUCACUUUCUAUGUAGCUUGAAAGAGGAUCGUCUAUUUGAUGUUCUUCAGGUGGGUAUUUUGGAUGAAGAAAACAAGCAGGAGCUUAUGGAGGUUGCUAUUCUUGCUGCUAGGUGCCUGAGACUUACAGGGGAGGAAAGGCCUAGCAUGAAGGAAGUGGCAAUGGAAUUAGAGGGAAUAAAGCUUAUAGAGAAACACCCUUGGAUCAAUACAGGCAAAAACUUUGAGGAGGGUCAAUACUUGCUUCAUGAGGCACAAAGCUCCCAUGAACAUGGUGAUAGUAGUAGUGCCCAACAAAAUACUGGAUAUGAUAGCUUGAGAGCACUUGAAUUAAUUGACUUUGGUAAUGGAAGAUGAUCAGCGCUCAUGACAGAACAACAUGCAGUUCCACUUCAGUUUAUUUCAAUAAACAAACAUAUUUCUACAAUCAUUAUUUCAUGUAGUUAGCAUGGUUAUAAAUGAAUUAUGUUUGAUGUUUUGUGUAACAUAUUUCUACCUUUUUUGCCAAAUUACUUUUGUCCAUUUUUUUUACUCAUUUUAACAUCUUUGUUCCUUUUUUUAUUUACUUUUAUCUGCAAGAGAAAACAAGUUGAAACAUAAUUUUGAUUCGAAAAUUGCUUACAAAUGUAUUAGUAGUUACACGAAAUUGAAAUGCAAGUCUAUUUAUGCGUAGUGAAGAACAAAUAAAUUUUGAGAAAUAGAAAACUUACACUUUUGUUAAAGGAAAGUGAAGACAGAGAGUGUGAUAUUUUUGUGUGGAUUUACAUUAAUAUCCUCAUUUGUGUUUUGCAAUCUUAAAUAAGAGUGUAUUGACAAAGUUAACACUCUUCAUGGCCAUUGGUUAUCAGUCAAAGAUAAAAUUCCUAAGAUGAUAAAGAGAAAUAUUUGACUUGAUGUAUAAAGUUGAUCUUUGUUAGGAUUACUUCAUUAAAAUAUUGUUCAGACUUCUAGAACAUCUAAGCAUAUCCAAGAACAUCUAAGAUAGGUGUCUUCUAGUAUCAAUGUUGAUUGUCUUAGUAGAGCAUCUAGUCAUUUAGUAUCUAUUAAGACUAAUUCUAUAUUGAGAAUCUGUUACCUACCUUUUAAAGUUAUAUGUUUGGUUGAUUAAUUUUGGGAUUAUUUUUGUCUAGAAAAAAAAGUGUGAAUAAGAUUUUGUAAAUAAAGUAAAUUAAUCCAAGUACAUACUAAAAAUGUUAUUUCUCACUGUGAAGUGAUGUGGGAAAAUGGACAUUUUUUCAUGAAUAUUAAAAAAAUUCUAUAAAAGGUUUUCAUAUCAACAUUUUACUUUCUAUUUAUUUUACUUGUUUUGUUGAAAGAUAAUAGUAAUACCAGCGUUGAAAGUGUAAUUUUUCUAUAUAUCGUAAUCCAAUCACAAACCUUUAUGUAUGAUAAAUUUAUUGACUUUUAUUAAUUUUUUAAAAUUAUAUUAAUAGUAUAAAUAUUCUUACCCUAAAAAUCCAUGUCUAUUAAACUCCAGUAUAGUUAUAUAAUCAAAUUUUGAGUGAUAUUAGAUUUAUCUUCUUAAAUACAAUUUUAGAUUCGCAGUUAGUUAGAUUUUUUUUCAUGUAAAUUAAUAACUACCAAAGUAAAUAGAUAGUUUAUUUGAUUUAAUAUAAUUUUAAAAAUAUUUAUAUAAUUUUCACAAUAACAAAUAAUAAAGUGUAACUACUUUCUUUAAUUUGUGGUGAAAUAUCAAAGGAACUGCAUUCAAGGUAUAUCAGCUUCACAGAACUAAUAUUUUUAAUAAUUUUUCUCAGAAUUUUCAGUUUUUUCUCUUUUUCAUUUCAAAUGGUUAUGUCGUUUAAGGCAGUUGCUUCCUGCACCCCUGCAUAUUUUUUCCUGCACCCCACAAUAUUAUGCAAAGACCAAACUGUUCCUGUUAUUUUUAAAAAACCCUAAAAUGCACUUGAACUGUAUUUAUCUUUUUGCAUUAUGGAUUAUGGAAUCCAGAAAAAUUUCGGAUUGGCACUUCCAGUAAAAUUUCAUAUCCAUCAAUCCGUAAUUCAAAAUAUGCAUUUCAUGUCCCAAAAUUCAUCAUUCAAAAAAAGCAUUCUGGAUCCAUCAAUCAGUAACAGAAAUAUGCAUUAUGGAUUUAGAAAUCCAUAAUUAAAAAAAAAAAAUUCCGAAUCCACCAAUCCGUAACAGAAUUAGGCUUCCAGAUUCAGCAAUCCAAAAAUGAAUAAUUUAUGCAAAAAUUGCUUUUGGAACACCCCCUCAUCCAGAAAAAAAUAUUCAGUUCUGGAUUGAUGAAUCCGUAGCACACUCCCAAAUCCCUAUUUCCGAUAAUCACAAUGCCCUUUUUCAAAUAAAAGAUUUGGGGUUUAGAAAAUUGUGGGGUGUGGGAAGAAAAAUGUAGGGGUGCAGGAAGAAGAAGCCAUCUUUUAAAUGCCAUUGCACUCAUUUAAGCUUUCUUGUAGCUCAAUUGAUAAGGCCCAUUUGCGGCUUUCUUCUGCAAAAGACCGUUCUUCGUUUGUCAAGGCUCGGGAUCACAAGAUAUUUGUUGAUAUUUUCCACUUAACUCUAGGUAUGAUUAUCCUUUUGUAUACUUCAUUUUUUCUGUAGCAUUUAUGAUUUGUUCACCACAUUAUUGUCAAGAAAAUAUUACAUUUAGGCUGAAAUUGGUUUGUUGAAAAUUUCAUUUAAGGUUGCAAGUUGAUUUUACCAAAUAUAAAUCAUUCUUCUUGCUACUAGUAAAUUGUAAUGGAUAAAUUAUUAUAUUAUAAUAUUCAUAUUUAAUUUAUAGUGCUCACAUUAAUGGAGAAGCUAUAGUUUGGAUAUUAUGUGAUGAAACAUAUGCAUAAAACUAUAUUGACCAACAUUAAGGGUCCGUGGAAGGAGAUAAUAUACAACUAACUCAAAUAUGUUAAAUAUAUUAAAUAUGUUAAAUGUUAAUUUCAUCUUCAAUAUUUAGUUAUAUACUAGUGAUCCAUCUGAGGAAGGCUUACAAGAGGUUUGAGAGUAGUUGACAUUAUUUCUUUUAAGUAUUUACAUAGUUAUAACUAGUUAACAAUUUUAUAUGAAUAUUAAAUGUUAGUAAAUUUUAUAAUUAUUAUGCUAGAUUUUAUUUUGAAAACAUUUACUUGAGCUUAUUAUAUAUGGCAAAAUAAAUAUAUCAAAAAAAAAUAACACUUUCUAUAAUUGAUUUAUUUUUUGUAUGGAAUAUGUUCUCUCUUUAUGCAAUUACAUUCGAUUAGUUUCUACAACAUUUUGCAUUCUAUUAUUCUCUUUUUUAAGACAGUUCUUUUAUGUUUGAUGUAAAAUCGAUAUAAAAAGGUAAUUUCUCUAUUCUUUUCUCUUCCUUCUUUUCUCUUCCUAACUAUCAAUUCUCCUCCAGACAUGUAACUUGAUAAGGACCUAUUCAUUUGCUUUAAAGUUAGUGGAAAUUAAUUUAAACAGGACUGAAAUUUAAAAUUCAAUUAAAAUAAAAUAUGUAUCCAAGUUUAACUAUUAUGUUUUCAUCAAAAACAUAUAUCAUGAUAAGAAAAAUGACGAAUAUUGACUAAGCGGUUAAGUCUCUGCCAAGAAUUAACAGAUGUAAAAUUAAACAUAUUUAAAUUGUUAAUAAUAAAAAAUUGUCAUACAAUAAUAUAAAACAAUAAUAAUGGAAAUAUUUAAUUAUUUGGUAACCCAGUGGAUACAUCAAUAUUUUUUUUCAGCCAUCUACAUGAUAAUCUUAUGUUAAAAGGUACAGUAUUAGUUAUAAAUAUGAACCUAAUGGAUACAUAUGUAUCCUUUGUCAAAGAUCAGAACAAGUCAAAAAGAAUUAAUCAAAUAGAUUUAUAAUAUAUGCAGUGUAUCAACAUGUCAAUUUCCAAUUAAAAUAAUCAUAUAAAAGAAUUUAUCAUGGAAAGAUGAACAUGUGUGUGAUGUUUUAACUGUCAUGUGUUGACAUGUCAAAGUAUAUAUUCUGAUAAACCAUAUGAAUGCCAAGUCUUUGGGUACUUUUAAAGCAUGUAUGAAGUUUUUUUUUUAUGUUUUCAUGUCUACAAUUUCUUUAAUUCAACUUAAGUUUUAUUAGUUUUGUAUUUUUUACCUUUGGACCAGGUUUCAUUCUUUGGCUAUUAUGUUUCUUCUCACUUUUAUUUAUUCUUCAUCCACGUUUACGCCAUGUGUAAAUUUGAAAAUAAUAAAAAGUAAUAGAAACUUGCUCUGCCACAACUAUGGUGAAGAAUUCAUUAAACUUUAUAAAACCUUAAUAAAGUGAGGCUGCAUUUCACUUCCAUAUUGUUUUUAUAACUAAUAUUUGUUCACGUUGUAAUUAGUUACUAAAAUUUUAACAUAAUUAAUAGUUAUCUUGGUAAUUAAUAGAUAUUAAUUUAAAAAUUAUUUAUUAAUAAUAUAAAUUAAUUUAAAUAUUAACAAUUUUUUUAAUUUUUAAAAUAGUAUCUAAUUUAGUCAAUAUAUCAAUUAAUCAUUUUUGUUUUAAUUUGAUGAUUUUCUAAUAAUGUAUAUGAUUAAUCAUUUGGUUAGUCCAAUCUUUAACAACAUCUAAUGUUUGAAUACAUGGAUUAUCAUCACCACAUGUCUUCUCACUCUCUCUAUUAACGAGUUCCAUCCAUAUACAACACUUUUCCUUCUCUACUGUAUCUUUUUUCUAGUUAUCAACUAUCUUUGCAACUUUCACAUGGACACCUCCAUUUGCAACAAUCUUGUAUCAUUCAUGGACUAUUAUUAGCUUACAAUGCUCUCACAAGGACUUGAUGGUUAUGGUCAAAACGACAAAGACAAAGACAAUACUAAAAAUUCAACUUUACUUCCUCACGCAUCUACCAAACAUAACCCUCAAAGAAGACGUAGACGACAAAAAAGAAGAGUACCUUAUGGCACGAUCUCUCAUAAAUAAAUUAUUUCCCUAUUGUAAUAGUACUAAUUAUCAAUUUUAAUUUUAAUUUCAAUUCCUAACUUACCUCUUAUUUUUUAUAAAUACAUAAAUAAUCAAAACAAUAAAAUAAACACAAAGUAUGUUAACAUAUUUAGUUUUUUUUUUAAGUUAUUGGACUUUGUUAGUUUGGCCCUUUUUAAGACUAAUUAAGACAUGUUUAAUUGUAGUAUAAGUAGUAAAAACGUUCAAAUUGUGGUAAACAUGACCGUGACACCAUAAUCAAUAAUCCAAGAUUCUUUUAUAGCAGACAGUGAAGAGAGAAACUUACUUGUUGAAGAUUGCUUAGUAUUGGGGAUUUCAUCCGCAGAGAAGGUGCCGACUUGAUUAAUUUGAGUGUGAGGGAUAGGAUCCUCAAGGUUUUGCUAACGCAAAAUGUUGGUCAGGAAUUGGCACUGCUGUGAUGUAAGUUGAAUCCCCUUUACAUCCUAUUCUUUAGGAAAAAACUCAAAAAAAGUGUCAGUAGUAAUCAUAUUAUUGGUUUGGGAUUUAGGGUUGAAAUCUUCACUUUGGCUCAACUAAAGACGUGGACGUGGCUUACCAGCAAAGAGAAUCUAACUGAAUUUACAUACACCCGCUGGUGCAUAAAUCCUACAGAAUGUAUGAAAUCUAUCCGGAAGAGAAGAUGAAGAAGGAGGGGUUUGUUUUAAUAGGAAGAAGUCUCGUAAAUUACAGCUGUAAACUUUUUUAGUUUUGUUGUCGUGAUGUUUCUGAGAUUAGUGCUACUAAUGCUCUUAGAGAGCUAGUAGUUAGUUGUUUGCAGAUCCAACUGAAGUCACGGCAAAGGCGAUUCAAAGCUUGUUUAUGGUUGAAAGAUAUGAUGAAUGUUCUGCUAGGCAAAAAUCUGACCUAUAAGCCCAUGUCCAAAUAUUGUCAAUGCUGGUCAACGUUAUGCAGUUUCUUGCACGUUUUGUGUGGUUAGUUGACCAGCUAUUGGUGCUUAAAAGAUGAGGAUGUGCGAAGAUUUUUGUAGCUUUUGGAAGUAGACUAGCAGCAGAGGUCGUGCCUCACUUUGACAAUAAAAUGUAGUGCACAAGGUUUGGUAUUGCUGCAAUGGGUAGGGAGCUAGCUAGAUUUCAAGUUUUUAGAUUGUUAAAAUUCUAGUGGCUAGAUAGCCAUCAAGUUUUUGGUUUGCUGUUUUUUGCAAAACCAAUUUUGUUUGGGUAGGGGCUACUUAAAUAGUUUAAGAUUCUUGAGUUAAGUGGUGUGUCACUUAAUCUUGAUUUGCUUUGUUGAUUUUUAUUCUAUUAAUUCAUUGCUGAUAAAAAAAAGUAAUUAUAUUAUUGGUUUGGAAUGUCCAAUUGGUGAAUUUGUAGCCAGGAGGAAACCCAUACUUUUUAUAAAAAUAGCUUUGAUACCAUAUUACAAAGUGAACUUUAAGCCUAACUCAACCCCAUAAAACCGACUCAUGAGGUGAGGUUUGCACCCACUUAUAUAUAAUCAAUUGUCCUCAUCUCUAAUCGAUGUGAGAUCUCCAACAAAGUAAUAAAAAAAAUAUAUAUAUAUAAAUACAUAAAAUAAACAAUUUAACUUUCAUAUGUUAAAGUUAAUCAGAAAACAUUUAUAUAAACACAUGCACUUCCAAACUUCAUCAUUUAAAAGAAAAAAAUACAAACAAUAAUGAAGCAAGUCGUGUUACCCUCAUAAAUACCAACAACACUAAACUCGAGACUUCCUGGCAUGACUUUAGCUAAAGUUCCAUAAUAGAAGGUUUUCCUCCCUGCAUAACUUCAGCUUCAACCCUAACUUCAUUUUAAUCGUGUCAUGUCUUUAUUUAUAAUUUUUUUUAAAAAUCAGAUAAUUAAAUUAAACAAAGUCGUGUUUGUAUACCAUCAACAUGAAAGUCGUUGUGGGAAAACAAGACUUCAAUUAGAUAAUCAAAUAUGAGGUUGAACUUAUAUUUAUAAAAGACAACUUAAAAUAGGUUUCUUUCAGUAAUAUCAAACCAAUGCAUUAUUUUCGUAAAUUUUCUCCACUUGUAUUUAAAAUCCAUGUAAAAACUCAUUCUUUCCUAAAUUUUUAUUUUUAAUUUAGGUUAAUUAGUGUUAUGUUUUUUAUAAUGUAAGACAAAUUUUUUAUUUUGAAAUUAUUAUAGCCGUAACUCUAUGAAAGAGCUGGCCCGGUCAAUCUAUAUUCCUCUCUUAGGUAUAAAUUGGAUCGAAAGUGGUAUUGAGCACAUAUAACAAAAAUGAGAAUUAAGGAGACGCAAAAGCAUCUGACCAGACUGACCGUGAUGUUACUGAUGGCUUUAGCAGCAGCCAGCCAAGCCCUGCCCGGCUGCCAGGACUCCUGCGGAAGUGUUUCAUCAAUUCCGUAUCCAUUUGGCAUCGGCAAUUCAUCGGUCACCGGUCAUAACUGUUUUCAGGAGAAAGAAUUGGAGCUUACAUGCAGAAACUCAACCUUAUAUCGCGGCCAAGGUAACGCCCAAAUUAUUAACAUAAGCCUCGCUGGUAAAAUAGACAUGCUCAUGUUCAUCUCCAAGGUUUGCAAAAACGAAUCGCAAGGUAACCGCCCCAGUCUCAGAUCACCGGCUUUCACAAUUUCUAGUGAAGACAACAAGUUCGUAAGCGUAGGGUGCGACACUUACGGCUAUCUCAACAGUUUUCGCAACGGUACAACAUCUUCAACGGGGUGCUUGACGAGACGCGACAGCUUAGAGAGCGUUGAAAGCAUGCAGAAGCGGAAACUGUACGGGCAUAGGGUGUUGCCAGGUCGACAUUCCUCCUGGGAUGAAGAAUAUUAGCUUGCGAGCAUACAGCUUCAACAAUUUCAAUUCCACUUCCGAUUUCAACAAGUGUGGAUACUCCUUUGUGGUAAAAAUGGCAACUACAGUUUCUCCGUCGAUCAUUUGAAGGGCAUCAACUUCACUAUGGCACCCAUGGUCAUGGAGUGGAGUGUAGGAAACGACACGUGCGACGCUUCCAUGCAUACAGCAGAUUAUGCAUGCAAGAGUGAUAAUAGCUAUUGUCAGAACUCGCCCUAUGAAUAUGGUUACCGAUGCCAAUGUAAUCCAGACUUUGAGGGAAACCCAUACCUUCUCCAUGGUUGCCAAGGUAAUUCAUUCAUUUAUCACUUAAUUAUGCUAACCUUCAUUCUACAUUCAGACAAAUUUAAGAAGUUUUCUGAACUAAAAUUAACUUACAAAUUUUUCUCAACCUAUCCUAAUCCACUCAAAUGACGUCACCUCAGUGUGUUCAAACAGCUGGCCAUUGAAAUAUAUAUAGCAUGAUGGGUUGACUUAUAAGUCUCUUUAGAGAUUUCAUGAAUGACAUAAUAAGUUAUAUUAUAAUUAGAAUCAAAAGAAAUAUAUUUAUUAGUUUAAGCAGCUUUUUUGACUGAAAAUGUAUUAGGGAGUUUCUUACGGCGUGCUUUUGAACUAGUUAUUUGUGUGGCCUUUGUAGACAUUCCGGAGUGUGCACGUAACCAACACAAUUGCGAUAGUGAAGAUCAUUGUAGAGAAACUUCUGGCUCUUUUGAAUGUUUCUGUCCUGACGGACUCAUCGGAAAUGGGACAAAAGAAGGCGGAGGAUGCCACACAAAGCAGCCGCAUGAUCCAUUUAACAAAAUCAUCAUUGGUAAGCAAAUUACAAUUUCGUUUCAGUUUUGUUUUCCUUACCUUAAACCACUAAUAUUUUUAAUUACACAAGCCUGGUGAUAUUUUCACAAUCUAAAUUUGUAAUAUAACUUUCCCAUAACUCAUUUUGUUCAUUAAAAGAUAGUUAUCAUUUUGUUCUCUUAACAAAAUGGCUAUUCAAUACAAAAUUAAUAAAUAAGUUGUAUGAUUAUAUAAAAAUGAAUUACAAAGGAAACACUUAUUUAAUAAUCAAUAUUUAAUAGUUUAAUUGUUUUACUUAAAAUAUUAAUAUACAUUAUUAAAUUAUUAAAGUGAAUGAUAAAGUAAUUAUUUUAUUUAGCUAAGUGAGAAAUUAUAUGUUUAACUUAUCUGUGUUUAUGUUUUGUCAUAUUAAUAGUGACAAAGUUGUUCACCUCUUCCAGUUAAAAAUUAAUAUUGAUGGUGUUAAAUAUGAGUUUUUUUAGUUUAUGGCUUGAAUGUCCUUGAUUUGUUCUGUUUUUUUACUACUAGUUUUUCUAGUUUACUUAUUUCUUCGUAAUAAGUGGAACAAAUGCCUUGAUUAUUAUGAGAAAUCAAAUUUGGAUUUUUCACAUUUUUCGUGAAGACAAUGUUUGUGCUGACAAACUUGUUAACUUAGGUUUUAUCCAUAGGGAACAAUUUCAUUGGUAUAAUAAGGUUUUAUUCUUAAAAUUCUUUAUUAAUUAGUAUAGAUUACUUAAGCAUUUCUUUUCAUAGGUUUUAUUUUAUAGAUUUUGGCCUAGUCCCCCAUAUUUGCUUGUAUUUUUUUUUGUCAUUUUUUAAAAGUACUUUCCUCAUGUGGUGACAGAUAAUUGUUGAAACUUAACAUGCAAAUCUAGCUGACAUGUCAAGUUUUAUAAUGAUACCUAACACCGUAGUUUUUUUAUUAAAAAAUAAUUAUUUUAUUUUUUAAGAAUAUCAAACUAUUAUAUUUUAUAAACAAAAUUGGAUUGUUGAAAUAUCAUAUUUUAUUAUUAUUUUAUUAUAUUCAUAUUUUGGUAACAGGUGCAGGUGUAGGAUUAAUUGCUCUGUUUAUAGGAGUUUCUUGGCUAUACUUGAUGUACCAGAAAAGGAAAGUCUUGAAAUUAAAGGAGAAGUUCUUUCAGCAAAAUGGAGGCAUCAUUCUAAGACAGCAACUCUCCACUAGGGAAGACUCAUCUCAGUCCACUACAAUUUUCAGUGCAGAGCAACUUAAGAAAGCCACCAACAAUUUUGAUGAGAGCUUAAUCGUAGGUAAAGGAGGUUUCGGUACUGUUUUCAAAGGACUUCUCUCAAAUAACAAAGUUGUUGCUAUCAAAAAGUCCAAAAUAGUGGAUCAGAGCCAGGUGGAGCAAUUCAUUAAUGAGGUCAUUGUACUCUCACAAAUUAAUCACAGAAAUGUGGUCAAACUCUUGGGAUGUUGUCUAGAGACAGAAGUUCCCUUACUAGUUUAUGAAUUUGUUAACAAUGGCACCCUUUUUCAUUAUCUACAUAAACAAGGAGAGGUGGUCAAUGUGUCUUGGAAAAUGUGUUUAAGGAUAGCUACAGAGACAGCUGCAGCUCUGUCAUAUCUACACUCGGUAGCUUCCAUACCCAUCAUCCAUAGAGAUGUGAAGACUUCAAACAUACUUUUGGAUGAAACUUACAAUGCCAAAGUUUCUGACUUUGGAGCUUCAAGAUUGGUUCCUCUUGAACAAACUGAAAUAGCCACAAUUGUGCAAGGAACCUUUGGGUAUUUAGACCCAGAGUACAUGCAAUCAAGUCAGUUGACUGAAAAGAGUGAUGUUUAUAGCUUUGGGGUAGUGCUUGUAGAACUGCUAACAGGGGAGAAACCUUUCUGUUUUGACAGGUCAGAAGAGAAACGAAGUCUCACGG